This 253-nucleotide ribosomal RNA is filed under the name uncultured bacterium. RNAcentral describes it as "partial 16S ribosomal RNA". It matches the Rfam family "Bacterial small subunit ribosomal RNA", at positions 524 to 776 of the family's 1533-position model. The record is from RNAcentral.
UACGGGGGGGGCAAGCGUUGUUCGGAAUUACUGGGCGUAAAGGGCGCGUAGGCGGCCUGCUAAGUCGGACGUGAAAUCCCUCGGCUCAACCGAGGAACUGCGUCCGAUACUGGUGGGCUUGAAUCCGGGAGAGGGAUGUGGAAUUCCAGGUGUAGCGGUGAAAUGCGUAGAUAUCUGGAGGAAUACCGGUGGCGAAGGCGGCAUCCUGGACCAAUACUGACGCUGAGGCGCGAAAGCUAGGGGAGCAAACGGG